Drosophila simulans is the source of this 2377-nucleotide long non-coding RNA. RefSeq lists it as uncharacterized. The record is from RefSeq and is a predicted model, not a curated record. Lineage: Eukaryota; Metazoa; Arthropoda; Insecta; Diptera; Drosophilidae. The transcript has 3 exons.
AAAAAUCCGACAGAGACUCUGUCACAGUUUUCGACUUGGAUUCGGUGGAUUCGGAUUCGACUGCUGCCCACACAUGGCAAAAUGUUUUUCACUGGAUUUGCAUAGUUCGUACAAGCCAAGUCAAGUGAUCGCGGCUGCUGUAGUAAAAAAAAAAAAAGGCACCAAAUCGUUAAAGAUUCAAAGCUUUUAGCCCGAGAAUUGCCAGACCGGUUUGCCGGUUAUGAAACUGUUUCAGCUGUGUGUUUUUGUGUCUUUUUUUCGAGUUUUGGUAAAGUUUUAUGAAUGGAAGAGCGUAAAAUUUGCAUCUAAAACACGUGAAGCACCACUCGAGAUUACUCAUACGCCCCGGUGGACUUAGGCCAAGAAAUAGCGAUUCAGUGUUCCUGUGGAAUUGGCUGAUGCCACUGUGAAUCAACAUUUUGCUGACAGUUUCGAGUGCUGCCAAGCUCAGAGCGAUAAAUAAUGUAUCCAUAGAAAUGCAAACACAUCUAAUGCUUUAAGCACUUGUCAAACUUUGCACCCACCGUUCCAUUGAACUAUCCCCACAAUAAGGCGCCAAUUAUGUCGGUGGCGAAAUGAUACCUCAACCCAACUGAUCACCCUGAUCUAUCUGCCUUCGCUCCGCCUUUCCAAACAAAAAAGCCCCAAGACGAGGUCAAACCCAAGCUGUGCAAUCGACCAACUGCCUGACCAACUGACUGACUGACUGAAUGACGGCCACGAUCUGGACGAUCGACGUUAGACAGGCAAUUUGUAGACUUUUAAAAUAGUUUCAAACUAUUCAGCCCGCCAACCAGCCAGCCAGCAGGCAAUCCACCAGACAACCUGUGCGCUGUCCGAUCGCCAAAAACGAUUGACCACAGAAAACAAAACAAUAAGGAUUCGGUUUUUGGCAAGUCGAAGGUUUUCAUACACUUCCCUGGGAUGUUCUUUUUAAAGAAACCGAGUUAUAUAUUCUGUAAAUUUAUUAUAUUGCAGAGAAAUCGAAACCUAAAUCAUUACUUUCGAUUGAUAAGACGAAAUGGAGAAAUCCAAAGCUAAAUCAUUAUUUUCGAAUGCUAAGGCGGAAUUUGUAAAAUACCAUAUCGAUUCUUGAUUCUGUAUGAGAGAGCUUCUUAUCAAGUGAAAGAUAUUAGUAACAACUAUGCAAUAUAUAUCCUUAAAUUUUCUGUUUCUACCAUCAAAAGCAAGCUGCGACUUUAGGCCAACAUUCCCAAAAGAAGCCAAUUGGAAAGCCAAAUAGCUCAGAGUAAUUAAGCCAAACAUUUGUAAAAAGCGAAUAGAUUGCAAAAUAAACUUUUACCUUUAAAAGGGAAACACACAGAAUAAUUAUUUACAUUUUUCCAAUUUAAUAAAUCUCAUUUGGUCUCCACUAUCUGGUAGAUACUAUUGAAUUCUAUUACAAACUUGAUAACUUAUCUUAUAUACCCAAUGAAAGAGCAGAAAAGCGCAUGCAAAUUAAUAGCCAACUGUGGCCGAAAAAUUAAUUGAUCACUCGAGACAGGUAACAUUGCUGAGAUUGCGGACCGGACCAGACUUAUAGACCCGACAAUCGAUCGAUCGACGCGAAUUAAGUUUGGUGCUGGUGGUAAGUGCCCGCAUGCUCUCCGGCUGAUCACAGACUUCCUGAGGUAGCCGUCUCGAUUUGGCUGGUGAAAUGUGGUCUGAUUUCCAUGGCUGCAUGAACAAAUUUCAAUUAACAUAUUCACGCAAUAAUUGCAGGGGUCUCCAAGCGGCCCACGUCUCUAGUGGCCAGCGAAUAGGCAAAUAAAAAAGACACCCACGUCCGCCGUAUCCCGAAUCCCCGGCAGACACGUGUCAAACUUCCGAUCAUUAGGAGGAGAAGGGGGCUCAUCGCACCACGCCCACUCGCACUGCUGCAGGGGCCCUAAUUAAUAAACAGACAAAACAAUUUUAAUUUUAUGGCCCUCGCAGAUGAAAAGCCCUCGAAUUGAUAAAUUAUCGAAAUGCAGUUUAGACAAAAAGAUAUUGAGAUUGAUCAUUGGACCAGCAGGCCGCUCGUCAUCAUGCUAUCGGAUGCGUUGGCGAUCCUCCGCGGUAAUGCCGCCUAAUUAAUGGUUGCCACGCUCGGAAAGAAUGGAUGGAAAUCUAAAGUGUAUAAUCCAGUAGGUCACUGGAAAGUAAAAACAAUAUAGACAAAAGCCAGAGCAUGAUGAAAUAUUUGACAAUUUGAUACGCUGGCAUUAGCUGCUAGAACUUAUUGCAUGCUAAAUCAAACAGUGAAAACAGAAGAGCUUAUCAAAUCUCUAAAUGCCAACAGCUAAACUCUAGACAAAGUUAUAAAAUAUCGUAAUGGUUUGGUAAUACUUUAAUGAUGCCUUUAAAUUAAUUGACAGCAUCAACAUAAAUAACACAA